CGCUGAAACACUGUUUCCAGUACGAUCACCAAAGUUAAGCAACGCCGAGCCUGGCCAGUACCUAGAUGGGUGACUGCUUGGGAAUACCAAGUGCCGCGAG
Molecule: non-coding RNA, 100 nt
Organism: Acanthosepion pharaonis
Lineage: Eukaryota; Metazoa; Mollusca; Cephalopoda; Sepiida; Sepiidae
Source: the annotation of a GenBank genome assembly